Molecule: long non-coding RNA, 474 nt
Organism: Armigeres subalbatus
Lineage: Eukaryota; Metazoa; Arthropoda; Insecta; Diptera; Culicidae
Exons: 3
Source: RefSeq, a predicted model, not a curated record
CCUUUUAAUUUUGUGUUGUUUCUUUUCUUAUAAUAGGAUCUGUUCAAUGUUAGUCGUUAAAAUACUUAUUGUUAUAAAUUAAAUAGUACGGAUUUGUGUUGGUAAAAAUCGAUUAGUGUGUAAAAUCCCUUUCGAAUCCACACGAACAAAUAACGACAGUGAAAAACGAAUUAAAAACGAAAUAGAAAAAGGUCCACGACAAAGGGACCUUUUUCUUUUGUACCUUUUUUCCAAGGUCUCGAGAGUGCAGUGCCACAGUGGUGAUUUCCGGGAAGAUUUGGCGAGUGCCCGUUGGCUUGGAUAAAGCAGCGUCAUUGCUGGCCGAAGUGUGGCCGCCAUCUUCCAACACCGAUACGGAAAAGCCACGUCAUCAAUCUCGCAGGGCAACACUCGUCCCGUCCGUGGAAUGAUUUCCGGACUGAAGCGGCUCCGCAAAGAGCAUCAAGCCGGCCAGAUCAAAGCUGAUUGGUCACA